Molecule: ribosomal RNA, 3225 nt
Filed under: Escherichia coli
Lineage: Bacteria; Pseudomonadati; Pseudomonadota; Gammaproteobacteria; Enterobacterales; Enterobacteriaceae
Description: 23S ribosomal RNA
Source: RNAcentral
GGGUUGUGAGGUUAAGCGACUAAGCGUACACGGUGGAUGCCCUGGCAGUCAGAGGCGAUGAAGGACGUGCUAAUCUGCGAUAAGCGUCGGUGAGGUGAUAUGAACCGUUAUAACCGGCGAUUUCCGAAUGGGGAAACCCAGUGUGUUUCGACACACUAUCAUUAACUGAAUCCAUAGGUUAAUGAGGCGAACCGGGGGAACUGAAACAUCUAAGUACCCCGAGGAAAAGAAAUCAACCGAGAUUCCCCCAGUAGCGGCGAGCGAACGGGGAGGAGCCCAGAGCCUGAAUCAGUGUGUGUGUUAGUGGAAGCGUCUGGAAAGGCGYGCGAUACAGGGUGACAGCCCCGUACACAAAAAUGCACAUAUUGUGAGCUCGAUGAGUAGGGCGGGACACGUGGUAUCCUGUCUGAAUAUGGGGGGACCAUCCUCCAAGGCUAAAUACUCCUGACUGACCGAUAGUGAACCAGUACCGUGAGGGAAAGGCGAAAAGAACCCCGGCGAGGGGAGUGAAAAAGAACCUGAAACCGUGUACGUACAAGCAGUGGGAGCCUCUUAAUGGGGUGACUGCGUACCUUUUGUAUAAUGGGUCAGCGACUUAUAUUCUGUAGCAAGGUUAACCGAAUAGGGGAGCCGAAGGGAAACCGAGUCUUAACUGGGCGUUAAGUUGCAGGGUAUAGACCCGAAACCCGGUGAUCUAGCCAUGGGCAGGUUGAAGGUUGGGUAACACUAACUGGAGGACCGAACCGACUAAUGUUGAAAAAUUAGCGGAUGACUUGUGGCUGGGGGUGAAAGGCCAAUCAAACCGGGAGAUAGCUGGUUCUCCCCGAAAGCUAUUUAGGUAGCGCCUCGUGAAUUCAUCUCCGGGGGUAGAGCACUGUUUCGGCAAGGGGGUCAUCCCGACUUACCAACCCGAUGCAAACUGCGAAUACCGGAGAAUGUUAUCACGGGAGACACACGGCGGGUGCUAACGUCCGUCGUGAAGAGGGAAACAACCCAGACCGCCAGCUAAGGUCCCAAAGUCAUGGUUAAGUGGGAAACGAUGUGGGAAGGCCCAGACAGCCAGGAUGUUGGCUUAGAAGCAGCCAUCAUUUAAAGAAAGCGUAAUAGCUCACUGGUCGAGUCGGCCUGCGCGGAAGAUGUAACGGGGCUAAACCAUGCACCGAAGCUGCGGCAGCGACACUAUGUGUUGUUGGGUAGGGGAGCGUUCUGUAAGCCUGUGAAGGUGGCCUGUGAGGGUUGCUGGAGGUAUCAGAAGUGCGAAUGCUGACAUAAGUAACGAUAAAGCGGGUGAAAAGCCCGCUCGCCGGAAGACCAAGGGUUCCUGUCCAACGUUAAUCGGGGCAGGGUGAGUCGACCCCUAAGGCGAGGCCGAAAGGCGUAGUCGAUGGGAAACAGGUUAAUAUUCCUGUACUUGGUGUUACUGCGAAGGGGGGACGGAGAAGGCUAUGUUGGCCGGGCGACGGUUGUCCCGGUUUAAGCGUGUAGGCUGGUUUUCCAGGCAAAUCCGGAAAACCAAGGCUGAGGCGUGAUGACGARGCACUACGGUGCUGAAGCRACAAAUGCCCUGCUUCCAGGAAAAGCCUCUAAGCAUCAGGUAACAUCAAAUCGUACCCCAAACCGACACAGGUGGUCAGGUAGAGAAUACCAAGGCGCUUGAGAGAACUCGGGUGAAGGAACUAGGCAAAAUGGUGCCGUAACUUCGGGAGAAGGCACGCUGAUAUGUAGGUGAAGCGACUUGCUCGUGGAGCUGAAAUCAGUCGAAGAUACCAGCUGGCUGCAACUGUUUAUUAAAAACACAGCACUGUGCAAACACGAAAGUGGACGUAUACGGUGUGACGCCUGCCCGGUGCCGGAAGGUUAAUUGAUGGGGUUAGCGGUAACGCGAAGCUCUUGAUCGAAGCCCCGGUAAACGGCGGCCGUAACUAUAACGGUCCUAAGGUAGCGAAAUUCCUUGUCGGGUAAGUUCCGACCUGCACGAAUGGCGUAAUGAUGGCCAGGCUGUCUCCACCCGAGACUCAGUGAAAUUGAACUCGCUGUGAAGAUGCAGUGUACCCGCGGCAAGACGGAAAGACCCCGUGAACCUUUACUAUAGCUUGACACUGAACAUUGAGCCUUGAUGUGUAGGAUAGGUGGGAGGCUUUGAAGUGUGGACGCCAGUCUGCAUGGAGCCGACCUUGAAAUACCACCCUUUAAUGUUUGAUGUUCUAACGUURGCCCGUAAUCCGGGUUGCGGACAGUGUCUGGUGGGUAGUUUGACUGGGGCGGUCUCCUCCUAAAGAGUAACGGAGGAGCACGAAGGUUGGCUAAUCCUGGUCGGACAUCAGGAGGUUAGUGCAAUGGCAUAAGCCAGCUUGACUGCGAGCGUGACGGCGCGAGCAGGUGCGAAAGCAGGUCAUAGUGAUCCGGUGGUUCUGAAUGGAAGGGCCAUCGCUCAACGGAUAAAAGGUACUCCGGGGAUAACAGGCUGAUACCGCCCAAGAGUUCAUAUCGACGGCGGUGUUUGGCACCUCGAUGUCGGCUCAUCACAUCCUGGGGCUGAAGUAGGUCCCAAGGGUAUGGCUGUUCGCCAUUUAAAGUGGUACGCGAGCUGGGUUUAGAACGUCGUGAGACAGUUCGGUCCCUAUCUGCCGUGGGCGCUGGAGAACUGAGGGGGGCUGCUCCUAGUACGAGAGGACCGGAGUGGACGCAUCACUGGUGUUCGGGUUGUCAUGCCAAUGGCACUGCCCGGUAGCUAAAUGCGGAAGAGAUAAGUGCUGAAAGCAUCUAAGCACGAAACUUGCCCCGAGAUGAGUUCUCCCUGAGACUNCCUCGAUGUCGGCUCAUCACAUCCUGGGGCUGAAGUAGGUCCCAAGGGUAUGGCUGUUCGCCAUUUAAAGUGGUACGCGAGCUGGGUUUAGAACGUCGUGAGACAGUUCGGUCCCUAUCUGCCGUGGGCGCUGGAGAACUGAGGGGGGCUGCUCCUAGUACGAGAGGACCGGAGUGGACGCAUCACUGGUGUUCGGGUUGUCAUGCCAAUGGCACUGCCCGGUAGCUAAAUGCGGAAGAGAUAAGUGCUGAAAGCAUCUAAGCACGAAACUUGCCCCGAGAUGAGUUCUCCCUGAGACUUAGAGUCUCCUGAAGGAACGUUGAAGACGACGACGUUGAUAGGCCGGGUGUGUAAGCGCAGCGAUGCGUUGAGCUAACCGGUACUAAUGAACCGUGAGGCUUAACCUUACAACGCCGAAG